GACGAACGCUGGCGGCGUGCCUAACACAUGCAAGUCGAACGAAGCAUAGCAAUAUGCUUAGUGGCGGACGGGUGAGUAACGCGUGAACAAUCUGCCCUGUACAAAGGAAUAGCCUCGGGAAACCGGGAUUAAAACCGUAUGACACUUUAGUAUCGCAUGAUAAGAAAGUCAAAUCGAAUAGAGGUAUGGGAUGAGUUCGCGUCUGAUUAGCUGGUUGGCGGGGUAACGGCCCACCAAGGCGACGAUCAGUAGCCGGCCUGAGAGGGUGAACGGCCACACUGGAACUGAGACACGGUCCAGACUCCUACGGGAGGCAGCAGUUAGGAAUUUUGCGCAAUGGACGAAAGUCUGACGCAGCGACAUCGCGUGUAGGAUGAAGGCCCUCGGGUCGUAAACUACUUUUUGGGAGCCAUGAAGGCGCCCAGAAUAAGGAACUACUAACUACGUG
This 448-nucleotide ribosomal RNA is filed under the name uncultured bacterium. Its description in RNAcentral is "bacterial SSU rRNA". It matches the Rfam family "Bacterial small subunit ribosomal RNA", at positions 28 to 507 of the family's 1533-position model. The record is from RNAcentral.